AGAGUUUGAUCCUGGCUCAGAUUGAACGCUGGCGGAAUGCUUUACACAUGCAAGUCGAACGGCAGCACGGGAGCUUGCUCCUGGUGGCGAGUGGCGAACGGGUGAGUAAUGUAUCGGAACGUACCCAGUCGUGGGGGAUAACUCUCCGAAAGGAGAGCUAAUACCGCAUACGUCCUGAGGGGGAAAGCGGGGGACCUGCAAAGGCCUCGCGCGAUUGGAGCGGCCGAUAUCGGAUUAGCUAGUUGGCGGGGUAAAGGCCCACCAAGGCGACGAUCCGUAGCGGGUCUGAUAGGACGACCCGCCACACUGGAACUGAGACACGGUCCAGACUCCUACGGGAGGCAGCAGUGGGGAAUUUUGGACAAUGGGGGCAACCCUGAUCCAGCCAUUCCGCGUGAGUGAAGAAGGCCUUCGGGUUGUAAAGCUCUUUCA
RNAcentral lists this ribosomal RNA (432 nucleotides) under uncultured bacterium. Its description in RNAcentral is "bacterial SSU rRNA". It matches the Rfam family "Bacterial small subunit ribosomal RNA", at positions 8 to 438 of the family's 1533-position model. The record is from RNAcentral.